GGCAUUCAUAGGGCUGUGAUCGGUGGCAGAAUCUACUUGGAGGCCUGUGGCUAG
Gallus gallus (chicken) is the source of this 54-nucleotide microRNA precursor. The record is from Ensembl. NCBI's taxonomy places the organism in Eukaryota, Metazoa, Chordata, Aves, Galliformes, Phasianidae.